This 316-nucleotide ribosomal RNA is filed under the name uncultured bacterium. RNAcentral's name for it is "bacterial SSU rRNA". It matches the Rfam family "Bacterial small subunit ribosomal RNA", at positions 28 to 334 of the family's 1533-position model. The record is from RNAcentral.
GAUGAACGCUAGCUACAGGCUUAACACAUGCAAGUCGAGGGGCAGCGGGAUUGAAGCUUGCUUCAAUUGCCGGCGACCGGCGCACGGGUGAGUAACGCGUAUCCAACCUUCCGCUUACUCGGGAAUAGCCUUCCGAAAGGGAGAUUAAUACCGCAUAACGUUGAAAGAUGGCAUCAUCAUUCAACCAAAGGAGCAAUCCGCUAUGAGAUGGACCCGCGGCGCAUUAGCUAGUUGGUGGGGUAACGGCUACCAAGGCGACGAUGCGUAGCCGACCUGAGAGGGUGAUCGGCCACAUUGGGACUGAGACACGGCCCAG